RNA transcript from Oncorhynchus keta (chum salmon), 1745 nucleotides. It is a transcript of the gene named tubulin beta-4B chain-like, with no coding region annotated. The record is from RefSeq and is a predicted model, not a curated record. Lineage: Eukaryota; Metazoa; Chordata; Actinopteri; Salmoniformes; Salmonidae. The transcript has 4 exons.
CGGGUCCAUCAGAUAGUCAGCUGGGUAAGAAGACAAAGAGAGUCCUCCAAGCCCAGUACCUUCUCGUUCCACCGUCGAAUCCUCACAGCUAACGCCCUUCCUUCCAUCCAAAAUGCGCGAAAUAGUACAUCUGCAAGCCGGACAGUGCGGAAACCAGAUUGGAGCCAAGUUCUGGGAGGUGAUCAGUGAUGAGCAUGGCAUCGACCCGACUGGAACCUACCAUGGAGACAGCGACCUGCAGCUAGACAGGAUCAAUGUGUACUACAAUGAGGCCUCAGGUGGGAAGUAUGUCCCCCGUGCCAUCCUGGUGGAUCUGGAGCCGGGCACCAUGGACUCUGUCAGGUCUGGCCCCUUCGGACAGAUCUUCAGGCCAGACAACUUUGUCUUCGGCCAGAGUGGAGCUGGAAACAACUGGGCCAAGGGCCACUACACAGAGGAGCAGAGCUGGUAGACUCUGUCAUGGAUGUAGUGAGGAAGGAGGCAGAGAGCUGUGACUGUCUCCAGGGCUUCCAGCUCACCCACUCCCUGGGUGGGGGUACUGGCUCUGGCAUGGGCACCCUGCUCAUCAGCAAGAUCCGUGAGGAGUACCCUGACCGCAUCAUGAACACCUUCAGCGUGGUGCCCUCUCCCAAAGUGUCCGACACAGUGGUGGAGCCCUACAACGCCACCCUCUCUGUGCAUCAGCUGGUGGAGAACACAGAUGAGACCUUCUGCAUCGACAACGAAGCCCUCUACGACAUCUGCUUCCGCACUCUCAAGCUCACCACACCCACCUAUGGAGACCUCAACCACCUGGUGUCAGCCACCAUGAGUGGAGUGACCACCUGCCUUCGUUUCCCUGGCCAGCUCAAUGCCGACCUCCGCAAACUGGCUGUCAACAUGGUGCCCUUCCCCCGCCUGCACUUCUUCAUGCCCGGCUUCGCCCCCCUCACCAGCAGGGGGAGUCAGCAGUACCGCGCCCUGUCCGUGCCUGAGCUCACCCAGCAGAUGUUCGACUCCAAGAACAUGAUGGCGGCCUGCGACCCUCGUCACGGCCGUUACCUCACCGUGGCCGCCAUCUUCCGUGGUCGCAUGUCCAUGAAGGAGGUGGACGAGCAGAUGCUCAACGUCCAGAACAAGAACAGCAGCUACUUUGUGGAAUGGAUCCCCAACAACGUGAAGACCGCUGUCUGCGACAUCCCACCCCGCGGCCUCAAGAUGUCUGCCACCUUCAUCGGCAACAGCACAGCCAUCCAGGAGCUGUUCAAGCGUAUCUCUGAGCAGUUCACUGCCAUGUUCCGCCGUAAGGCCUUCCUUCACUGGUACACCGGAGAGGGUAUGGAUGAGAUGGAGUUCACUGAGGCUGAGAGCAACAUGAAUGACCUGGUGUCUGAGUACCAGCAGUACCAAGAUGCCACCGCUGAGGAGGGCGAGUUUGAAGAGGAGGGAGAAGAGGAAGCAGCCUAAACCAUCCAGUCACUCAACUGCCAAACAGUCGAUCACUCACCUCCGUCCUGUCCCCAAAGCACAACUUGAUUGAUUUAAAUUAAUGUUAAAGAAAAGGAAACUCCGAUCUGUGAUAAUUAAAUGAAUGUCCUCAAGCAUCUCUUCAGCGGUUCCCUUCAGUCUAAUUAGUAUCCUGUAAGGUUUUCAGGUCUCAUCCUAGAAGUCAGAGGGUAUUCUAACAUGAGGUUUCUUAUGAAAGCAGCAAGCUGUAACUCGAUGUCUAAAUUGAAUUAUGUGAAUAAAUUAACAAUGUGUUCCAA